AGAGUUUGAUCCUGGCUCAGGAUUAACGCUAGCGGCAGGCCUAAUACAUGCAAGUUGAACGGGAUUUCGGGUAGCAAUAUCUGAAUGAGAGUAGCACACGGGUGCGUAACACGUAUGCAACCUACCUGUAACUGGGGGAUAGCCUCCCGAAAGGGAGAUUAAUACCGCAUAAUAUUAUUGAGUGGCAUCACUUGAUAAUUAAACCUCCGGGGGUUACAGAUGGGCAUGCGUCCGAUUAGCUAGUUGGUGAGGUAAUGGCUCACCAAGGCUACGAUCGGUAGGGGGUCUGAGAGGAUGAUCCCCCACACUGGUACUGAGACACGGACCAGACUCCUACGGGAGGCAGCAGUAAGGAAUAUUGGACAAUGGGCGCAAGCCUGAUCCAGCCAUGCCGCGUGAAGGAUGAAGGCCCUAUGGGUCGUAAACUUCUUUUAAACGGGACGAAACCCCUCGACGUGUCGAGGGCUGACGGUACCGUAAGAAUAAGGGUCGGCUAACUUCGUGCCAGCAGCCGCGGUAAUACGAAGGACCCGAGCGUUAUCCGGAUUUAUUGGGUUUAAAGGGUGCGUAGGCGGACUUUCAAGUCAGUGGUGAAAGCCCAUCGCUCAACGAUGGAAUUGCCAUUGAUACUGUUGGUCUUGAGUAUAGUUGAGGUGGGCGGAAUGUGUCAUGUAGCGGUGAAAUGCUUAGAUAUGACACAGAACACCUAUUGCGAAAGGCAGCUCGCUAAGCUAUAACUGACGCUGAGGCACG
Molecule: ribosomal RNA, 753 nt
Filed under: uncultured Bacteroidota bacterium
Lineage: Bacteria; Pseudomonadati; Bacteroidota
Description: bacterial SSU rRNA
Rfam family: Bacterial small subunit ribosomal RNA
Source: RNAcentral